RNAcentral lists this ribosomal RNA (1451 nucleotides) under uncultured Bordetella sp. RNAcentral describes it as "partial 16S-23S ribosomal RNA intergenic spacer". It matches the Rfam family "Bacterial small subunit ribosomal RNA". The record is from RNAcentral. Lineage: Bacteria; Pseudomonadati; Pseudomonadota; Betaproteobacteria; Burkholderiales; Alcaligenaceae.
CGAUUCUGGCUCAGAUUGAACGCUGGCGGGAUGCUUUACACAUGCAAGUCGAACGGCAGCACGGACUUCGGUCUGGUGGCGAGUGGCGAACGGGUGAGUAAUGUAUCGGAACGUGCCUAAUGGCGAGGGGAUAACUACACAGCGUAGCUAAUACCGCAUACGCCCUUCGAAACAGGGACCUUCGGGCCUCGCACUAUUAGAAGCAGCCGAUAUCGGAUUAGCUAGUUGGUGGGGGUAACGGCUCGCAAAGGCGACGAUCCGUAGCUGGUUUGAGAGGACGACCAAUACCUCAGUUCGAAGACUAACCAAACUCUCAAGGAAAGGGCUGGCUGAUGAAAUUACGGACAAUGAGAAGCCACAGUCAGCCAUCCCGCGGUGUUGCUGAUAAGGCCUUCAGGUUGUAAAACACCUUAGCAAGGAAAAACGGCAGAUAAUACCCCGUGCAACUGACAAUACCUACAGAAUAAGCACCACCAGCAGCUACGUGCCAGCAGCCGCGGUAAUACGUAGGGUGCAAGCGUUAAUCAAGUUACUGGGCGUAAAGCGUGCGCAGGCGGUUCGAAGAAAGAUGUGAAAUCCCAGAGCUUAACUUUGAACUUCGUACAACUACCUACGAACUAAAUUAUUAAUAUCAGAAAGGUAAAUUCCGCGUGUAGCAGUGAAAUGCGUAGAUAUGCGGAGGAACACCGAUGGCGAAGGGCAGCCUUUCCUGAGACAACACUGACGCUCCUUUAGCGUGGGAGCAAACAGGAUUAGAUACCCUGGUAGUCCACGCCUAAACGAUGUCAACUAGCCUGUUAGAACCUUCGGAACCUUAAUGGCACAACUAACGCGUGAAGUUGACCGCCUGAGAGAGUACAGUCAUAAGAUUAAAACUCAAAGAUCAACAAGACCACACCAACAAUGAAUGAUAAUAAUAGUCAAUUCAAUCUACCUGAAAAACAACCACCACCUUACCAAUAUCUUAAUCAAAAGUUCAAAUAUAAACAAGAGGAACCGGUUACGGGUACUUUCUACUAUAAGUAUCAUCCAGCUCGUGUCGUGAAUGUUGGGUUAAGUCCACAACGAAGCACCAACCCUUGUCGUGGAUUUACUACGAGGGCUCUAGUAGGACUGCGGUGACAAACCGGAGGAAGGUGAAGAUGACGUCAAGUCCUCAUGGCCUUAUGCGUGAGAGCUUCACGUCAUACAAUGGUCGGGACAGAGGUCGCCAACCCGCGAGGGGGCCAAUCCAGAAACCCGAUCGUAGUCCGGAUCGCAGUCUGCAGCUCGACUGCGUGAAGUCAGAAUCGCUGAUCAUGUCGCGUGCGCGGUGAAUACGUUCAGGUCACUAUACCCUACCCGUCGCACAUAUAGAAUAGGAUUUUACCGAAGUAGUUAGCCUAACAAAUAAGGAGGGCGAUUACCGCAUUAGAAAGUUCGCGGCUAAGGGUAGAGUCGUAACAAGGUAA